Molecule: long non-coding RNA, 283 nt
Filed under: Mytilus galloprovincialis (Mediterranean mussel)
Lineage: Eukaryota; Metazoa; Mollusca; Bivalvia; Mytilida; Mytilidae
Source: RNAcentral
AGCCAGAAGUAUCUCCUACUAGACUUCAUUUUCAAAUUGACUAUGUUUGCUAUUUUCUUUUAAUACUGUUUAUACUAUUUUUUGACGAAAGUAUGUGUUAUGAAUAAUGUUGUACCAUACAUUUAUCUCAGUCUAAUGUAUGUAUUGUUUUAAGGAAACAACAGCAGUAAAACUGUAGAGAACAUCGAUCCAGGUAAGGCGGAAACAGUCACAAACUCGGGUAUAUUAAUCAAUUAAUCAAGCAAAUAAGCAAAUGCACAACCAAAAACAUCAAGUGAACAAC